RNAcentral lists this ribosomal RNA (253 nucleotides) under uncultured bacterium. RNAcentral's name for it is "partial 16S ribosomal RNA". It matches the Rfam family "Bacterial small subunit ribosomal RNA", at positions 524 to 776 of the family's 1533-position model. The record is from RNAcentral.
UACAGAGGUCUCAAGCGUUGUUCGGAUUCAUUGGGCGUAAAGGGUGUGUAGGUGGCGCGCUAAGUCGGGUGUGAAAUUUCGGAGCUUAACUCCGAAACUGCAUUCGAUACUGGCGUGCUUGAGGACUGGAGAGGAGACUGGAAUUCAUGGUGUAGCAGUGAAAUGCGUAGAGAUCAUGAGGAACACCAGUGGCGAAGGCGAGUCUCUGGACAUUUCCUGACGCUGAGGCACGAAAGCCAGGGGAGCAAACGGG